Long non-coding RNA from Lepidothrix coronata (blue-crowned manakin), 1996 nucleotides. RefSeq lists it as uncharacterized. The record is from RefSeq and is a predicted model, not a curated record. The transcript is spliced from 4 exons. Lineage: Eukaryota; Metazoa; Chordata; Aves; Passeriformes; Pipridae.
UCAACAAUGAUUCAGAGCAGGAGAAGACUGAGGUCACUCCUCGGCCAGACAUGAUGACUUAAGACAAAAAUAUUUUAACUCCCUGUGAGUUGGGUUGCUUUUGUUUUGAAGUAGUUCCUCUGGAAAGCAGAAAGCAGCAAUUCGUUUGGUAUAAUAGAGAAGAAUUUGAUUUCUAACCUUAACAGACUUCUCUCUACAAGAGACAGGUACUCAGAACAAAUGCACAUCACAGCUGAUUCAGCUGGACCUGGAACAGUAAUAAAGGCAAUCCUCUCAAAAAAAGCUCAGCUUCUGGAGGCUUAAGUUCACAGGUGGCCUUCAAAAGAGUUGUACCAACUAAACUGAACACAAAAGGGGAGAAGUGUAUCACAGAAGGGACCUUUUGGAGGACACCAGUAAGCACUAGGUGAAGACACCAUAAAGACUGCCACAGCCAUUUCAGCACUGCUUAUGGAUGGGAAUAACCAACUGUAGGGGCAGUUACAUGCUGCUUCUUUUUCAGCAGCAAAGCAAGCUUGAAAAAUUGCCAGCUUUACUUACCUUCAGCUACUCAUUAUUGUCUCAUGCCACGUUUUUGCAGAAGGUUAUUUUUAGCCUGGAUUAUUUCAGUAAACUAUUUUGGGCUGGCAUUGGGCUGACAUUGAAGGGGCUGAGAAGCACAGCACAGGGAAGGGAGCUAAUAUCUACCUUUGUAAUUAACUCCACAACCAAUACCAGAACUACCUGUAGUUAUUGAUCUUGAAGGUUACUGCUACAAGUCACCCAAAUUCUCUGACACUGUCUGAAAAAUACCAGCAAUAAUGAAAUCAAAAUAGUAUUAUUCAGGACACCAAAAAGAUACCAUAUGGAGCAAUAUGCAUUUCAAAACAGUACAGGACUGUCUGAUUGCAGUUUCAGUAAAUCCACUAUGUUCACACAGGAAAAUGAAAUCUCAAAAUAGCAUCUUUGAUAGCAGCAUCAACAGGCACAUCAGGAAUCAAUUUCAACUUUCAGGGCUCUCUAAAUGCUGGACAUCUUCCUCCCAUGAUCCCUAUUCAAGUGUUUCCACUUGCUUAUGUUAACUUCUCUGUUCACUGAACCCUGCACUGAGCCAUUCCAGCAUGCUAACCCUUCAGAAAAUUAAUCACUUGUUUUGUUCCAUGCACUGUCUUCUGCAUUCAUGCAUACAAUGGCUCAGCAGAAGACUAGAAAAGCACUGAAGCCAAUGCAAAGGGGAGAAGAUGAGAUUAUCCAGGGAUUUUUUUUUCCCCAGAUAAAGGGAACACAGAAACUACAGAAAGUCUGGCUACCUGUGAACACACCCAGGUGAGCUUGAACACACUGCUGAAAGGAAAUGACACCAUAGGAAAAGAAUGCAGGAGGCACCCAGGAGCUCUCAAACCUCCCAAGCCCUUCAUCUUAGCCUGAGACCAGCUCUACAAAAGGCUCACCAGGCACGGGGAUGACAACACUCCAUGUGUGUUUGCAGCAAAUGGCAGACUGAAAAAUCCUCUCUAGUAGAAGACAUCAAUUCCAAAUACCUGUGAGAUCUCCACUUAACCUGAUGACCAAAGACUGUACCUAAGACUGCACACAAGCCAAAAGUGUUGCCUCUAAUCCAUUAUCACACUGCAGAAAAAGCAUUCAUGAUGCAUAUACUCAACUGGGCAGACUGGAUUAUCCCAAGAGCACUACUGAGAAUUUCAAAUCCACAAGCAAGGAGUCAGUAAGGAUAAAAUGGGUGCCAGAAACUUCAAUAUUAACAUCCAACUAAUAUCCAAGUUACUACAUUGAUCUCCUGAAGCAUGUUUUGAACUAGUAUUGCAAGAGGAAGAUAUUUAACAAAGCAGAAAUAGACCAAGGCUCACCGCCAGAGCAAAGAACCCAGCCCUGAAACAGCAGAAGGUUUUGCACAUCUAAACUCUGAUAUGCUGUCAAAAUUCAGCAGGAAAAACUGGCCUUGUGAACAUCAAAUUCAUUGUACAAAAUGCUUUGUACUAGCAACUUGUCACUGAUA